Molecule: long non-coding RNA, 1392 nt
Organism: Mustela erminea (ermine)
Lineage: Eukaryota; Metazoa; Chordata; Mammalia; Carnivora; Mustelidae
Exons: 7
Source: RefSeq, a predicted model, not a curated record
AGCAGGAGGGACUUGAUCCUGGCACUCUGGAAUCAUGACCUGAGCUGAUGGCACUUACCCAACCGAGCCACCCCAGCGCCUUGGCCUAAACAUUUUCCACAAAACAUCUCAAUUAACUCUCACCACGACCCUCCUAGUGCUCAGGAGACUUCGUAGAGGACAGGUUUGUUCAUGAAUCUUCAGCAGCGUGGACAAGCUAUGGCCCACACCUCAAACCCAGCCCACCGUCUGCUUUGGUACAUUGCAUGAAGCCUUCAGUGGGUUGCACGAGGCCACCCGCUCCGGGAAAGGAAAUCUGCUUUACUCCGUCCACUGAUCCAAAUGUCUCGUCUCACCCAGAACUCCCCGCAUGGACUCCCCAGAAUAACGUAAAACCAAAUGCCUGGCGACCCCACAGCCCCAGUCAAGCUGACACAUAAACUUCGCCAUCACAAGAGCCUACUGUUGUGAUCUCCCUCCCAGCUCACCAGCACACAGGACGCUCAGAUCCUCGGAGGGACGGGAGAAUAGGAGCCCUAUAGCUGUGUGAAGGCCUGGCUCCGAGAAAGAGACAGGAAACCGAAUUCAAGAAUGGCCCCCACCUGGCCUGCUAGCCCUGUUCAGGUCUGAGUGGGCAGUGAUCUCCAUCCUGUGGUGCCUGGGUCCAUCGCACAUCUCGGAGAUUGAUAAGAUUUCCCUUAAGUUGAGUAUUUCCAGCUUGGAUCUCGAACCGUUGCCCACUGCCAGAAGCCCACGCGGCUGCUUUCUCAUCUGUGGGAAACUCCUGACCCUCGGUUCUCCACUGGAUACCAGGUUUGGGUCCUCACCAUACACCAGCAGGAUCAAGAUGUUCUCUGUGGAACAAAGAGGGAAACAAAGGCUCAGAGCUGGCAAGGGAAGGAGCCGAGCCCUCAUCUACCUCCAAAACGCAGGACACAGCGAGAAGACUGCUCUCAACAAGCCAGGGAGGAAGCUUUCACCAAACACCACGUCUGCCGGUGCCUUGAUCUUGGACUUCCAAGCCUCCAGAACCAGGAGAAGUCAGUAUUCAUGGCUUAAGCCCUACAGUUUAUGGAAUUUUGCUAAAGCAGCCCAAGCAGAGACACAAUAUUAUCAUUUACUCAAUAUUUCUUUAGAUUGGCUUUUUUUUUCACUCAAAUAAGCUCCUUAAAGGAAAUUGGUAUCGUAUCCAUAAAGAAUAAGUCACUAUUACUUAGCAUAAUUGGGAAGUAGCCAUAAAAAUAAUUCCAAUGGAAACAAACCAAUGUUGUUAAAUUCCGGCUAAAAGCUCAGAUUGAAGCCAAAUUCUUCCUUCUCAGCUAGGUGGAUUAGCAAGUCCUAGAAAGUGAGUAAGUACCCAGGAGGUAUUAAAGGCAAAGCUUUCUCUGGUAAUCAUAAAUGUUGAUAAUUGGG